GACGAACGCUGGCGGCGUGCCUAAUACAUGCAAGUAGAACGCUGAAGGAGGAGCUUGCUUCUCCGGAUGAGUUGCGAACGGGUGAGUAACGCGUAGGUAACCUGCCUGGUAGCGGGGGAUAACUAUUGGAAACGAUAGCUAAUACCGCAUAAGAGUAGAUGUUGCAUGACAUUUGCUUAAAAGGUGCAAUUGCAUCACUACCAGAUGGACCUGCGUUGUAUUAGCUAGUUGGUGGGGUAACGGCUCACCAAGGCGACGAUACAUAGCCGACCUGAGAGGGUGAUCGGCCACACUGGGACUGGGACACGGCCCAGACUCCUACGAGAGGCAGCAGUAGGGAAUCUUCGGCAAUGGACGGAAGUCUGACCGAGCAACGCCGCGUGAGUGAAGAAGGUUGUCGGAUCGUAAAGCUCUGUUGUAAGAGAAGAACGAGUGUGAGAGUGGAAAGUUCACACUGUGACGGUAUCUUACCAGAAAGGGACGGCUAACUACGUG
RNAcentral lists this ribosomal RNA (495 nucleotides) under uncultured bacterium. Its description in RNAcentral is "partial 16S ribosomal RNA". It matches the Rfam family "Bacterial small subunit ribosomal RNA", at positions 28 to 507 of the family's 1533-position model. The record is from RNAcentral.